RNAcentral lists this ribosomal RNA (497 nucleotides) under uncultured bacterium. RNAcentral describes it as "partial 16S ribosomal RNA". It matches the Rfam family "Bacterial small subunit ribosomal RNA", at positions 28 to 507 of the family's 1533-position model. The record is from RNAcentral.
GAUGAACGCUGGCGGCGUGCCUAAUACAUGCAAGUCGAGCGAACAGACGAGGAGCCUGCUCCUCUGACGUUAGCGGCGGACGGGUGAGUAACACGUGGAUAACCUACCUAUAAGACUGGGAUAACUUCGGGAAACCGGAGCUAAUACCGGAUAAUAUAUUGAACCGCAUGGUUCAAUAGUGAAAGACGGUUUUGCUGUCACUUAUAGAUGGAUCCGCGCCGCAUUAGCUAGUUGGUAAGGUAACGGCUUACCAAGGCAACGAUGCGUAGCCGACCUGAGAGGGUGAUCGGCCACACUGGAACUGAGACACGGUCCAGACUCCUACGGGAGGCAGCAGUAGGGAAUCUUCCGCAAUGGGCGAAAGCCUGACGGAGCCACGCCGCGUGAGUGAUGAAGGUCUUCGGAUCGUAAAACUCUGUUAUUAGGGAAGAACAAAUGUGUAAGUAACUCUGCACGUCUUGACGGUACCUAAUCAGAAAGCCCCGGCUAACUACGUG